GGUGCUGCAUGGCUGUCGUCAGCUCGUGUCGUGAGGAUGUUGGUUAAGUCCCGCAACGAGCGCAACCCUUGUCAUUAGUUGCUACAUUCAGUUGGGCACUCUAAUGAGACUGCCGGUGACAAGCCGGAGGAAGGUGGGGAUGACGUCAAGUCCUCAUGGCCCUUAUAGGUGGGGCUACACACGUCAUACAAUGGCUGGUACAAAGGGUUGCCAACCCGCGAGGGGGAGCCAAUCCCAUAAAGCCAGUCGUAGUCCGGAUCGUAGUCUGCAACUCGACUACGUGAAGUCGGAAUCGCUAGUAAUCGUGGAUCAGAAUGUCACGGUGAAUACGUUCCCGGGUCUU
RNAcentral lists this ribosomal RNA (343 nucleotides) under uncultured Rhodoferax sp. RNAcentral's name for it is "bacterial SSU rRNA". It matches the Rfam family "Bacterial small subunit ribosomal RNA", at positions 1037 to 1382 of the family's 1533-position model. The record is from RNAcentral. Lineage: Bacteria; Pseudomonadati; Pseudomonadota; Betaproteobacteria; Burkholderiales; Comamonadaceae.